AACAUCAAUUUUAUCGCUGAAUUCAGUACUAUAUUUUAAUUAGAACCAAUUCUUAUGGUAUCUAAGGUAAAUACUAAUUUUCAAUGUGUUUGUCAUUAUUAAGUAUUGAUAAAGCGUAGAUUAAAUAGAACGUUGCUGGGCGCCUUACAUUGAUCAUUUUAAGAUUUGAGAUGUCGGGAAUCAGCUGUAUCUACAUUU
Molecule: small nucleolar RNA, 198 nt
Filed under: Henningerozyma blattae CBS 6284
Lineage: Eukaryota; Fungi; Ascomycota; Saccharomycetes; Saccharomycetales; Saccharomycetaceae
Description: Tetrapisispora blattae CBS 6284 Small nucleolar RNA snR32
Rfam family: Small nucleolar RNA snR32
Source: Rfam by way of RNAcentral